CAAUAGCGUAUAUUAAUGUUGUUGCAGUUAAAAAGCUCGUAGUUGGAUUUCUGGGAGGGUGCCGAUGUCCGCGUAGCGUGAGUGCAGCGGCGCCCUCUCAUCCUUCUGUUAGCGUCUCUUGGCAUUCAUUUGCUGGUGGCGGGCUCAGAUAUUUUACCUUGAGAAAAUUAGAGUGUUUCAGGCAGGCUAGGCCGGAAUACAUUAGCAUGGAAUAAUAGAAUAGGACUACGGUCUCUUUGUUGGUUUGAGGGACUGCAGUAAUGAUUAAUAGGGAUAGUUGGGGGCAUUAGUACUUAACUGUCAGAGGUGGAAUUCUCAGAUUUGUUAAAGACUGACUUAUGCGAAAGCAUUUGCCAAGGAUGUUUUCAUUAA
RNAcentral lists this ribosomal RNA (372 nucleotides) under uncultured eukaryote. Its description in RNAcentral is "partial 18S ribosomal RNA". It matches the Rfam family "Eukaryotic small subunit ribosomal RNA", at positions 592 to 976 of the family's 1831-position model. The record is from RNAcentral.